AUGGAAGAUCUCGGAGCGUCUCGUCCUCGCCGGCAACCAUACGGCGCUCCUCGCACUGACGCUGCCCAAACGGAGGGCCCAGAUCUCCCGGAGGACGUCUGGCACUAUAUACAUUCCUUGAUACCGCUGAGAGAUGCUGCCCGAGCCACCUGCGUAUCUCGGUCCUUUAUGUGUUCCUGGAGAUGCCAUCUCAACCUCAUUUGGAGUAGGGACACUUUGGGCUUGGAGGCAGAUGUGUUUGAAAAGAUAACAGCUAGAGAUUUCAGAACCAGAAUCGACCACAUUCUGAGCAAACCAUUCGGGCACCGGGUGAGGAAACUCAGCCUUUUGGUUGGUUCCAAAUUACAAUACGAAGGACCAUCAUUAUAUCAUCGAAUGGAUUCAGAAAGCAGUUACACCAGGGAUUGA
This 408-nucleotide ribosomal RNA is filed under the name Triticum aestivum (bread wheat). RNAcentral's name for it is "partial small subunit ribosomal RNA". The record is from RNAcentral. Lineage: Eukaryota; Viridiplantae; Streptophyta; Magnoliopsida; Poales; Poaceae.